Molecule: ribosomal RNA, 400 nt
Filed under: uncultured bacterium
Lineage: Bacteria
Description: bacterial SSU rRNA
Rfam family: Bacterial small subunit ribosomal RNA
Source: RNAcentral
GGGGAAUAUUGGACAAUGGGCGAAAGCCUGAUCCAGCAAUGCCGCGUGAGUGAUGAAGGCCCUAGGGUUGUAAAGCUCUUUUACCCGGGAUGAUAAUGACAGUACCGGGAGAAUAAGCUCCGGCUAACUUCGUGCCAGCAGCCGCGGUAAUACGAGGGGAGCUAGCGUUGUUCGGAAUUACUGGGCGUAAAGCGCGCGUAGGCGGUUUUUUAAGUCAGAGGUGAAAGCCCGGGGCUCAACCCCGGAAUAGCCUUUGAAACUGGAAAACUAGAAUCUUGGAGAGGUCAGUGGAAUUCCGAGUGUAGAGGUGAAAUUCGUAGAUAUUCGGAAGAACACCAGUGGCGAAGGCGACUGACUGGACAAGUAUUGACGCUGAGGUGCGAAAGCGUGGGGAGCAAAC